UCUGGUCUCAGCUCUGGAGUCAAACCCCUCACACCUGAGAGAGAUGGAUCUGAGUAACAAUGACCUGAAGGAUUCAGGAGUGAAUCUGCUCUCUGCUGGACUGGGGAAUCCCCACUGUAAACUGGAGACUCUGAGGACAGCAGCCCAGAAUAGUUACUGAACAUUUAAAAGAUCAUCUGGGAAUCCCUCCUAAUGGAUCUUUCUGAAGGUUCUCCAACAUUUACACAGCUCCUCAGAGGGAUAAACGAUCUGGAACAGACCUCGUUAGAUGUUGGUUCUCUGGAGCAAAUCGCAUGCAGCCGAACCCCGUCACAUUAUUGCUGACAUACAGCCAAGAAGGAUAACGGGCUCCAUAUGGAC
This is a long non-coding RNA of Oncorhynchus tshawytscha (Chinook salmon), 360 nucleotides long. The record is from Ensembl. NCBI's taxonomy places the organism in Eukaryota, Metazoa, Chordata, Actinopteri, Salmoniformes, Salmonidae.